AUUGAACGCUGGCGGCAGGCUUAACACAUGCAAGUCGAGCGGAGAUGGGGUGCUUGCACCUAAUCUUAGCGGCGGACGGGUGAGUAAUGCUUAGGAAUCUGCCAUUUAGUGGGGGACAACAUUCCGAAAGGGAUGCUAAUACCGCAUACGCCCUACGGGGGAAAGCAGGGGAUCUUCGGACCUUGCGCUAAAUGAUGAGCCUAAGUCGGAUUAGCUAGUUGGUGGGGUAAAGGCCUACCAAGGCGACGAUCUGUAGCGGGUCUGAGAGGAUGAUCCGCCACACUGGGACUGAAACACGGCCCAGACUCCUACGGGAGGCAGCAGUGGGGAAUAUUGGACAAUGGGCGGAAGCCUGAUCCAGCCAUGCCGCGUGUGUGAAGAAGGCCUUUUGGUUGUAAAGCACUUUAAGCGAGGAGGAGGCUACCUGGAUUAAUACUCUGGGAUAGUGGACGUUACUCGCAGAAUAAGCACCGGCUAACUCUGUGCCAGCAGCCGCGGUAAUACAGAGGGUGCGAGCGUUAAUCGGAUUUACUGGGCGUAAAGCGUGCGUAGGCGGCUGAUUAAGUCGGAUGUGAAAUCCCUGAGCUUAACUUAGGAAUUGCAUUCGAUACUGGUCAGCUAGAGUAUGGGAGAGGAUGGUAGAAUUCCAGGUGUAGCGGUGAAAUGCGUAGAGAUCUGGAGGAAUACCGAUGGCGAAGGCAGCCAUCUGGCCUAAUACUGACGCUGAGGUACGAAAGCAUGGGGAGCAAACAGGAUUAGAUACCCUGGUAGUCCAUGCCGUAAACGAUGUCUACUAGCCGUUGGGGCCUUUGAGGCUUUAGUGGCGCAGCUAACGCGAUAAGUAGACCGCCUGGGGAGUACGGUCGCAAGACUAAAACUCAAAUGAAUUGACGGGGGCCCGCACAAGCGGUGGAGCAUGUGGUUUAAUUCGAUGCAACGCGAAGAACCUUACCUGGCCUUGACAUACUAGAAACUUUCCAGAGAUGGAUUGGUGC
This 995-nucleotide ribosomal RNA is filed under the name uncultured bacterium. RNAcentral's name for it is "bacterial SSU rRNA". It matches the Rfam family "Bacterial small subunit ribosomal RNA", at positions 28 to 1017 of the family's 1533-position model. The record is from RNAcentral.